GUCUUUUUGCACAAAACGGUCAAUCGCGCUCCACUCGUGUGUGGCUUGAUUGGAUUUUCACGGACCUAAAAAGAGAAGAGGAAAAAAAGGUAAAAAUCUGAACGCCGUAAACCAUGAGAGCUGGGGUUACUAGGACUACCACAUGAAUGGCUUAGGGCAUUGCUGGGCAACAGAGCCAGCAGCGGACAGAUGAAGUGCAUCUGGGACUCAAAGACUAUCAAGUCCCAAGGUAGGCAAGCAGACAGAGCUCAGACAGAGCUCGGCUGCCUGAGGCGCCGAAGUGGCAAUCCUGCUGUGGCGAUCCUCCGGUUGUCUGCGGAACGUCAACCCCUCCCCUGUGUAGCGGAGUCAGCCCCUCGCGCCCGGCAGCAGCCAACCCUGCCCCGGGUGCUUGGGGAAGCAGCUGUCUUAGGAGACGCUCGGCUCCCAGGUGUGCCUGGAGAAGCCACUCCGCCCCAGCAUGGGGAUCGAGGCAACAGGGCAGGCCUGGCUGGGCAUCUCCCUAGCCUACAGCCACCGAUCAACUCCUGGUAACCAGCUGAAGGCCGCGGGCUGGGAUCAGAGUCCCAGAGUCAGGCUGCGGGCCCACGGGGGUGCAGGCGCCGGCCAGGAACAGGCGGGGAAGGCGCGGGGCCCACCUGCAGCUUGACUAGGGAGCGGCGGCGGCGGCAGUGGCGGCAGCUUGGGAGUAACGAGACGUCACCGCCGGCAGCCGCGAACCGGAAACCUCCGGCGCCCAAGCCGGGCCAGGGGGCGCCCGGGAGCUGCCGCGACACCUUGGCCCGGGGCUCAAGGGCGGACCGGAAUGCCUUGACCACACCCAGCGACCAGAGUCUGGAAGGCACUCUUGGACACCCAUCAGCCAAGGUUACGGACACCCUGUGACCCACAGCCUGAUCCACUGGGGACACCCGCCUACAUCCCCUCCGGGACGUGGGACACCGGGGUGCAAGUCCCUGGCUGCUCCUCCAGGCGCUUGGCAGGUCUCCAGCACCAGAGAGUAGGCAGGCAGACUACGGGACUGUUUACAUAUCACUCAGGGUUGUAAUUUUAUUGCUUUCCCAUUCUGAGCAGAAGUUGCUGCCCUGAUUUUCAAAUGAGACUGGAUGUAGUGGGACACUCUCUGGUGGGUAGUGAAAAUACUGUAGAUUCCAGGGAAUUGUACCUGUCCAUGAAGUGUCCAAGUCCAAUGGCUACUCUUGUUUAAUUUUUACGUUUUUGCUAUUUCAUGAUGAUUUCUAACUGCUUGUUUAGGUGAUGAUUACGUGUAUGCAUAUCUCCCAUUCUCUUCCAUUCUUGACACCUUGCAGUUCCAGCAUGCCUUCUGGAGCAUGGGGGAGACAGCCAUUAAAUUAUGAUUAAAGGGUUCAAGGGCUGACAGGUGGCUUAGAGUUUUCAAAGCGCUUGUGGGAGCAAGCCUGACGACCCACGUUGAAUCCUAGGAUCCUACCACGAAAGGGGAGAACCCACUCCCUGACCUCGUUCUCUGACCUCCUGGAUACUCACACCUUCCUAUACAAUACUAAUAAAUGAAAAAAAGGACCCAGCUUAUAUUAAUGGUGUCAAAAUAAACAUGCUCAGAUGCAUUCAGUUCACAAGGCUUACAUGUCUUAUAAAUUUUAAGAAGCUACUAUGAGAACUGAAACCAGAACUGGUGGUACAGGCCUGCUGUUCCAGCUACUCCACAGGCUGAGUCAUGGAAAAAAUUUAAAAAAAAUAAAAAAUAAAAGGAAGUUCAAGACACCCAGACAACUUAGUGACCACGGAGAUGAGUGCUAUCCUAACAUGUGCACGACCCCAGGUUCAAUCCCCAGUAACAUACAACAUACACAUGGGCUGGGCACUUUAGGGAAGGCCUUUCUUUAAUCCUAGCUAGCACUUGGAAGGCAAAGGCAAAUGGAUCUCUGUAAGUUUGAGGCCAGCCUGAUCUAUGUCGCAAGUUCCAGACCAGCUGUGUUUUAUAUGUGUAUGUGUUUAAUAUGUAUAUAAUUUGUUUAAUAUAUAUCCUGUUCAGUAUGUAUUGUGUUAGCAUGUCAUUUACAUGUGCCAAACACACAUUAAAGAACAAAAGAACAUUACAGUAGUUUUUAAAAUGCAUUUUAAAAUUUUUAUGUAUAGGUAUUUUGUGCGUGUAUGCACACACGGCCAGAAGAGGGCAUCAGAUCUCUGGAACCGGAGUUACAGUUAUUAGCUGCUAUGUGUGUACUAGGACUUGAACUCAGUCCUCUGAAAGAGUACCAGUGCUCUUAACUCAGCCACUAACCACACUAGUAAGCCUGGCAAAGGCGAUGGAACCAGGGCGCUUGUGUGACGUGACCACAGCACAACUUUAGGAGACUGUUUGUUUCAGCUUAGUUGGUACUCUACCGGUUUCGUUGUUUUUCAGGAAAUGCAGCUUCCCAUUACAGCAAAACAUGUAAUUAUGGCUAUUUUGAAUCAACUUUAAAAGGAGCUUGAGGUGCAAUGAUAUACAGUUAAAACCAAGUACAUGAAGUAGGUGAAAUGUUUGCUAAACACAGAUUAACCUAAUGGCAAAAAUAAACUAAUCACACUGGCAUGCUAUCUACAUGGGGCUCUUUCAGGUACUAACAUAUAUUAAGGAGUUAUUGAGACUCAUAGGAAGCAAGAAAUGGAAUUUUAAAAUGAGACUGAGUUCUGUAUUACUGUAAUAGCUAUUUCCAAUUUCCUCAAAAUAUAUCAUUAUAAAAAAUUUAAAUUCUGACUCUUCAAAAUGAUCUUUUAAGACAGGACUUCUCUGUGUAGCCUGACUGUCCUGGAACUCACUCUGUAGACCAAGAAGGUCUCAAACUCAAAGAUCUGCCUGCUGGGAUUAAAGGCAAGCCACCUGGCAUAAAUUGAUACUGAUAUAGACUCAAAUCCCACCAACAGAAAAUUGAGUGAAUGAGUUAGCUCUGUUAGCUUUCAGUCUCUGAAACAAACCUCUGAAAUAACAACAUUAUAACUGACUUUUUCCUCAGUUCAAAGAGUUAGUGCAUGGACUACAGAGAUGACUGAAUGGGCUUGCUACAGAGAACCAACCAAAUGUAGAACUGUGCCCGUACAGAAAGUAACUAAUGGUGUCUUUGUACACUGCACAUUACUAGGUGGAAAAUGAUGCUAUCACUUACCUGAGGGGUACACAUCUACACACACAGGCACAAAUAUACACACCAAACAUGGACACACAAUAAAACACACAUAGACACAACACAUACCUCCCAAACAACACACCACAUCUACAUAUACACUUACACACACUUCACAGAUGAAGUAAUAUUUAAAAUGUUUACUAAACAGAAGGACUGCUGGUAUAAGAGGAAAAGGGAUCUUGAAUGAUGCAGACAGUUACAUUAUAAAACAAAAUUUAAAAAAUAUGCAGCAAUCCUUGAAAGCUGAAAUGGACCUAAAUGUUUUCCAGUUGAUGCAUGUGAGCACAAAGGAACUACUCAAACAACUUCAAAACAUACUUUGUGUCUCCUUAGAAGACCUUCAAAGAUGGGGAGAAUUAAAAAACAACCUAGGCUGUGCUCAGCAACUGAACUGUUAGUGACAAUCCUAGCAUUGUAUGACAAGCCAAAGUGAAGUAGCUAGGAUGAAAUAGCUGGCAUUGUGAGGGAAGAAACACUCAGGAAGUCAUACACAUAUUCUGCACUUCUCAAUUUUCCUGCAAGUCUCAACAAUCUCUCUUGCAUAUCCCACCACACAGGUCUGUGUACAAAGGCGCACUUCUGUGACUUAUGGUAAAAUGAAAUAUGUAAGCAGACUUUGAAAUCUUUAUUUAAAUCAGACCCAUGCUUAUUUACAGUACCUUUCAUUUGGAAUUAAAAUAUCAAUCUUUUAGUUUAAAUCAUACUCUUAGCCCUUUACAAAAUAUGUAGCUGUUUUUUGUGGGGUUUUUUGGUUUUUGUUUUGUUUUGUUUUGUUUUGUUUUUUUUAGUUUAAAACUGGCCAAGGAUAAGAAAACUUGGACCAGCUUUUUUGUAAUGAGAAUGAGAAAUGAUCCCUGGAACAUACAUGUCUAUAAUACUAAACAGUAGUAAAAUAAGACAUUUUGCACCCAUUUCUCCUUAAUUUGGGGGCUUUGUUUUCAAUAACUACAAAUUGUGUGCAUCUAGAACAUUUAUUUACUUUAUGUGUAUGGGUGUUUUGUCUGCUUCUAGGCCUGUGCACCACUGUGUGCCUGGUGUCUGAGGACACCAGAAGAGGGUGCUGGAUCCCCUGGGACUGGAGAUACAGAUGGUUGUGAGCCACCACAUGGAUGCUGGGAAUUGAACUCAGGCCCUCUGGAAGAUCAGCAAGUGCUCUCUAGGCCAAAAUCAUGUGCUUUUAAAUAAGCAUUCAAAUUAAACUUUCAAUUAAUGAAAUAACUGAUGGGAAACAUACUUCCUAAAUAUUCCUUACAUUUACUUAACUACAAAAACCAAAAAUUUUUCUAAGUCAGUAAUCAUCCACACUUAGCAUAUUUUGAAGUGCAAUGUCGUGUAUUUGGUACAUCCCACAUGCUGAAUGCUAUAGAGUGUUCUCAAGAGAGGCCCAGCAGCAGCAGCAGUCUCCACGUGCUCACCUCCAACACCUGGGCCUCUUAAUUCCAAGUAUCUGAGGGGUUUUUUAUUUUUUGGUUUUUUUUUUUGUUUUGUUUUUUGAAUUUUGUUUUCUCCCCCAAGAAUGGAAGCAUCUAACUGCAAACUAUUUUAUGCAUUAGAAUAUUCUACUAGCAUAUGGGUAGAUAAUUUUCAAUGAUACAUAACAAAGAAAAUUAAAGAGCAACCAAUGCUUAAUAAGUCUUCUGCCACUUACUGGAUUAUUUACAAGAAAUUUAUUCAGUGCCCCUUAUCAACUUGAAAUGUACUGAAAGGUCUAAGUAUAUUCUAGCCAACAUAAGCAGUGUGAACAUCAGCUAUUCACUUACAGAUGAAGCAGAUAUAAAUGGUUGCAUGUCAUUUUAUACAUAAGUAAGUUGAAAACAUUUUAAGAUUUUUAAGUGGGCUGCUUUUAUUAAUGUUAUUAAGAACCAAGAAAAAUAUUUAAUGUUGAUAUUAUAAAAUCUAGAAUACAGGAAAUUUUAAUUUCAAAAUCUUUUCUCUGCCACAUUCCCAAAUUAUUUGUUUAAAAAGUAUUUUACAUUUCCCAAACUACCAGUUCUAAAUGCUUGCCAACAAUUUUGAAAUUCAGGUUUCCUGUCUCUUUUAACACUAUGUAUUUAUUGCUGUCAGACUUAUCAUCUUGCCCCUGAAUAUUAAAACAUUUUAAAGCU
RNAcentral lists this long non-coding RNA (5254 nucleotides) under Mus musculus (house mouse). RNAcentral's name for it is "long non-coding RNA chr6:97148193-97153447". The record is from RNAcentral. Lineage: Eukaryota; Metazoa; Chordata; Mammalia; Rodentia; Muridae.